Long non-coding RNA from Apis cerana (Asiatic honeybee), 435 nucleotides. RefSeq lists it as uncharacterized. Lineage: Eukaryota; Metazoa; Arthropoda; Insecta; Hymenoptera; Apidae. The record is from RefSeq and is a predicted model, not a curated record.
GUUCGUUUCGAAUUCACAUUGUAACCGAGCGCGUUAUACACACUCGACGUUUAAUGGCUGUAUAGACACCGCCUAUACACGCUAUAUAGAAACGGCUUCUAGAAUGGAAUAAGACGAUAGCGGACGACGAGCGUGCGGCGACACAAUGAGAGAAUGAAGAAUUGGAUACUUACGUAAAUAGGAACCAUCUAAAUCCUUAAACUCGCAUCUCUGCCCGAUAUAACCGUUGGCGCAUCUGCAAACAAAAGUAUUCCAUUAGAAGACACGGUGUUCAUAUAGAUCCGUGUAUCUAUUAGCUCGAGAUACCGGCAAAUCGUUCCGGAAGGUAUCUAUCAUCGAUCGAUGUCGAGGUCUCUUUAUAACAACAGCGACAGUUUUCAACAAUGGUUGUAGCAAAAAUUAUAGAUCGAAUAAAAUAUGAUAUCGUAGCUACAA